Molecule: ribosomal RNA, 253 nt
Filed under: uncultured bacterium
Lineage: Bacteria
Description: partial 16S ribosomal RNA
Rfam family: Bacterial small subunit ribosomal RNA
Source: RNAcentral
UACGGAGGAUCCAAGCGUUAUCCGGAAUUACUGGGCGUAAAGCGCGCGCAGGCGGUUUUGUAAGUCAGAUGUGAAAUCCCCGGGCUUAACCUGGGAAUGGCAUUUGGGACUGCAAGACUCGAGUGCGGCAGAGGAGACUGGAAUUCCUGGUGUAGCAGUGAAAUGCGUAGAUAUCAGGAGGAACACCGAUGGCGAAGGCAGGUCUCUGGGCUGAAACUGACGCUCAUGCACGAAAGCGUGGGGAGCAAACAGG